Molecule: ribosomal RNA, 460 nt
Filed under: uncultured bacterium
Lineage: Bacteria
Description: partial 16S ribosomal RNA
Rfam family: Bacterial small subunit ribosomal RNA
Source: RNAcentral
CCUACGGGGGGCAGCAGUGAGGAAUAUUGGUCAAUGGACGCGAGUCUGAACCAGCCAAGUAGCGUGAAGGAUGACUGCCCUAUGGGUUGUAAACUUCUUUUAUGUGGGAAUAAAGUGUUCCACGUGUGGGCUUUUGUAUGUACCAUAUGAAUAAGGAUCGGCUAACUCCGUGCCAGCCGCCGCGGUAAUACGGAGGGUCCGAGCGUUAUCCGGAAUUAUUGGGUUUAAAGGGAGCGUAGGCGGGUUUUUAAGUUAGGUGUGAAAGUUUGCGGCGCAACCGGAAAAUUGCAGUGGAAACUGGCAGUCUUGAGUACAGUAGAGGUGGGCGGAAUUCGUGGUGUAGCGGUGAAAUGCUUAGAUAUCACGAAGAACUCCGAUUGCGAAGGCAGCCCACUGGACUGCUACUGACACUGAGGCUCGAAAGUGUGGGUAUCAAACAGGAUUAGAUACCCUAGUAGUC